GACGAACGCUGGCGGCGUGCUUAACACAUGCAAGUCGAACGGUGAAGCUCCAGCUUGCUGGAGUGGAUCAGUGGCGAACGGGUGAGUAACACGUGAGCAACCUGCCCCUGACUCUGGAAUAAGCGCUGGAAACGGCGUCUAAUACUGGAUACGAGAAGGGUCCGCAUGGGCACUUUCUGGAAAGUUUUUCGGUUGGGGAUGGGCUCGCGGCCUAUCAGCUUGUUGGUGAGGUAAUGGCUCACCAAGGCGACGACGGGUAGCCGGCCUGAGAGGGCGACCGGCCACACUGGGACUGAGACACGGCCCAGACUCCUACGGGAGGCAGCAGUGGGGAAUAUUGCACAAUGGGCGAAAGCCUGAUGCAGCGACGCCGCGUGAGGGAUGACGGCCUUCGGGUUGUAAACCUCUUUCAGCAGUGAAGAAGCGAAAGUGACGGUACCUGCAGAAGAAGCACCGGCUAACUACGUG
RNAcentral lists this ribosomal RNA (468 nucleotides) under uncultured bacterium. RNAcentral describes it as "partial 16S ribosomal RNA". It matches the Rfam family "Bacterial small subunit ribosomal RNA", at positions 28 to 507 of the family's 1533-position model. The record is from RNAcentral.